RNAcentral lists this ribosomal RNA (735 nucleotides) under uncultured bacterium. Its description in RNAcentral is "bacterial SSU rRNA". It matches the Rfam family "Bacterial small subunit ribosomal RNA", at positions 29 to 810 of the family's 1533-position model. The record is from RNAcentral.
ACGAACGCUGGCGGCAGGCCUAACACAUGCAAGUCGAGCGCACCCUUCGGGGUGAGCGGCGGACGGGUUAGUAACGCGUGGGAAUCUACCCAGCUCUACGGAAUAACUCAGGGAAACUUGUGCUAAUACCGUAUACGCCCUUCGGGGGAAAGAUUUAUCGGAGUUGGAUGAGCCCGCGUUGGAUUAGCUAGUUGGUGGGGUAAUGGCCUACCAAGGCGACGAUCCAUAGCUGGUCUGAGAGGAUGAUCAGCCACACUGGGACUGAGACACGGCCCAGACUCCUACGGGAGGCAGCAGUGGGGAAUAUUGGACAAUGGGCGCAAGCCUGAUCCAGCCAUGCCGCGUGAGUGAUGAAGGCCUUAGGGUUGUAAAGCUCUUUCGCUAGGGAAGAUAAUGACGGUACCUAGUAAAGAAGCCCCGGCUAACUUCGUGCCAGCAGCCGCGGUAAUACGAAGGGGGCUAACGUUGUUCGGAUUUACUGGGCGUAAAGCGCACGUAGGCGGAUUAGCAAGUUAGGGGUGAAAUCCCGGAGCUCAACUCCGGAACUGCCUUUAAAACUGCUAGUCUAGAGAUCGGGAGAGGUGUAUGGAACUCCUAGUGUAGAGGUGGAAUUCGUAGAUAUUAGGAAGAACACCAGUGGCGAAGGCGAUACACUGGCCCGAUACUGACGCUGAGGUGCGAAAGCGUGGGGAGCGAACAGGAUUAGAUACCCUGGUAGUCCACGCCGUAAACGAU